RNAcentral lists this ribosomal RNA (375 nucleotides) under uncultured bacterium. RNAcentral describes it as "bacterial SSU rRNA". It matches the Rfam family "Bacterial small subunit ribosomal RNA", at positions 524 to 898 of the family's 1533-position model. The record is from RNAcentral.
UACGUAGGGGGCAAGCGUUGUCCGGAAUUAUUGGGCGUAAAGCGCGCGCAGGCGGCUGUUUAAGUCUGGUGUUUAAUCCUGGGGCUCAACUCCGGGUCGCACUGGAAACUGGACGGCUUGAGUGCAGAAGAGGAGAGUGGAAUUCCACGUGUAGCGGUGAAAUGCGUAGAGAUGUGGAGGAACACCAGUGGCGAAGGCGACUCUCUGGGCUGUAACUGACGCUGAGGCGCGAAAGCGUGGGGAGCAAACAGGAUUAGAUACCCUGGUAGUCCACGCCGUAAACGAUGAGUGCUAGGUGUUAGGGGUUUCGAUACCCUUGGUGCCGAAGUAAACACAUUAAGCACUCCGCCUGGGGAGUACGGCCGCAAGGCUGAA